GAUGAACGCUGGCGGCGUGCUUAACACAUGCAAGUCGAACGGAAAGGCUCCUGCUUGCAGGGGUACUCGAGUGGCGAACGGGUGAGUAACACGUGGGUGAUCUGCCCUGCACUUCGGGAUAAGCCUGGGAAACUGGGUCUAAUACCGGAUAGGACGAUGGUUUGGAUGCCAUUGUGGAAAGUUUUUCGGUGUGGGAUGAGCUCGCGGCCUAUCAGCUUGUUGGUGGGGUAAUGGCCUACCAAGGCGUCGACGGGUAGCCGGCCUGAGAGGGUGUACGGCCACAUUGGGACUGAGAUACGGCCCAGACUCCUACGGGAGGCAGCAGGGGGGAAUAUUGCACAAUGGGCGCAAGCCUGAUGCAGCGACGCCGCGUGGGGGAGGACGGCCUUCGGGUUGUAAACUCCUUUCGCUAGGGACGAAGCGUUUUGUGACGGUACCUGGAGAAGAAGCACCGGCUAACUACGUG
Molecule: ribosomal RNA, 466 nt
Filed under: uncultured bacterium
Lineage: Bacteria
Description: partial 16S ribosomal RNA
Rfam family: Bacterial small subunit ribosomal RNA
Source: RNAcentral